AACAGAUUCAUUAUUGGACUGUAUAAUCCAUAAUAUUUAAGAUAGAUUGUUGGCUUGAUACUCAAUUUCCCUGCAACAUUGUGCUCAAAAUACUGUCUUUGCUCCUGCUGAAAAUUGGCUAAAACCAAGCUGGCAGUAAUGGAUCCAUGGAAGUGGCACUCAUUAGCUGCUAUAAAGCAAAAUCAUCGGCCCGGAGAGCUGCUUUGAAAAGUGCAUUUGGACGUGGGGAUGGCAGAGAGAAAUGAAAUCACGUCGCGCCACUGCAACAAAUUCAAGUUAAUUGAAUUCCAAAGUAAGCAUAAUUCCAGCCGGCUCUAAAGGCGAGCACAUACAACAGGAGGCACUACCAACAGCUCCUAUAUGGCCAUAUAGCCACGACAUUCACUCUGCGACGGGAGCAAAGGGGUAGGCAUUUAAACUAAAUUUAGCCUGAAAUUGCUUCCUUUUUGCUGUCGGUUGCUGGCCAUUCUGCUGCUGCUGCUGUUGCCUGACGGUUGCCACUUUGCCGACAACACAAAAUUCAAUUACAAUUGGCAGCAGCAAAAACGAAAACGAAAGUCGCGCUAAAACCCCACCAGAGCCAACGAACGAUCGGGCAACUGAAACCGAAACUGGAGCCAAGACCCGGCCUGAAGUUGAAGCUGGGGCUGCAGUCCGGUUUCUUAAUGCUUUCAGCACUUGCAAUUAUUUUAUGCCGCCAUCGUUUAAAGUGUCGGAAAUUUGGUUCGGUAAUUAAAUGAAAAUCAACAGCGACCAACGCCUGGACGCCGAAAAAAGCAUGAAAACAAACGAUAAUCCCCCCCUGCAACUCGCCGAAUGAUUCAUCACGCUCGCUUGGCCAAAGCCCAGAUACGGCCACCAAUUUGAUUAUGGCCAUAAGUAGACAAGAAGGAAACUUUGGUGACUCCAACUCCGCAAAAAGGACAAUCUCGACGGAGACUCCAAAGAAAAAAAAUAAAUAAAUUGCCUUUCAGAUUGCAGCUUCA
Long non-coding RNA from Drosophila kikkawai, 986 nucleotides. RefSeq lists it as uncharacterized. The record is from RefSeq and is a predicted model, not a curated record. NCBI's taxonomy places the organism in Eukaryota, Metazoa, Arthropoda, Insecta, Diptera, Drosophilidae.